UACGUAGGGGCCGAGCGUUGUCCGGAGUUACUGGGCGUAAAGCGCGCGCAGGCGGCUCGUCAAGCCUGACGUGAAAGCCCCCGGCUCAACCGGGGAGGGUCGUCGGGGACUGGCGGGCUUGAGGUCGGCAGGGGUUGGUGGAAUUCCCGGUGUAGUGGUGAAAUGCGUAGAGAUCGGGAGGAACACCCGUGGCGAAGGCGGCCAACUGGGCCGGACCUGACGCUGAGGCGCGAAGGCGUGGGGAGCGAACAGG
RNAcentral lists this ribosomal RNA (253 nucleotides) under uncultured bacterium. RNAcentral describes it as "partial 16S ribosomal RNA". It matches the Rfam family "Bacterial small subunit ribosomal RNA", at positions 524 to 776 of the family's 1533-position model. The record is from RNAcentral.